This 492-nucleotide ribosomal RNA is filed under the name uncultured bacterium. RNAcentral describes it as "partial 16S ribosomal RNA". It matches the Rfam family "Bacterial small subunit ribosomal RNA", at positions 29 to 507 of the family's 1533-position model. The record is from RNAcentral.
AGUGAACGCUGGCGGUAGGCCUACCCCAUGCAAUUCGAACGGCAGCCCAUUAAGAGCUUGCUCUUACGGUUGGCGAUUGCCGUACGGGUGAGGAUUCCAUCGAAAUCUCCUUUUUCGUGGGGGAUACCUUAGGGAAACUUCCGCUAAUCCCGCAUCCUCCCUCCGGUUGAAAGCAGGGGAUCUUCGGCCCUUCCUCGAUUUAUUGAUCCGAUGUCGGAUUAGCUAGUUGGCGGGGUAAAGGCCCACCAAGGCGACGAUCCGUAGCUGGUCUGAGAGGAUGAUCAGCCACACUGGAACUGAGACACGGUCCAGACUCCUACGGGAGGCAGCAGUGGGGAAUAUUGGACAAUGGGCGCAAGCCUGAUCCAGCCAUACCGCGUGGGUGAAGAAGGCCUUCGGGUUGUAAAGCCCUUUUGUUGGGAAAGAAAAGCAGCAGGUUAAUACCCCGCUGUUCUGACGGUACCCAAAGAAUAAGCACCGGCUAACUUCGUG